Non-coding RNA from Pelobates cultripes (western spadefoot toad), 1096 nucleotides. The record is from the annotation of a GenBank genome assembly. Lineage: Eukaryota; Metazoa; Chordata; Amphibia; Anura; Pelobatidae.
CAUAUACAAGAAUGAAUAGUUAUAACUGUUCGUGGAAUGGGUUUGCACAGUCUGAAUACCGAACAGGGUAUUGGGUGAACAAAAGGGAGUACUUCUGUAACAGUUUGUAAGGUUCUUCUAACAGUAGUAGGGUUCUUGUAACAGUAUUAGACUAGUGACAGUUGCAGAAAAGGACUCAGUCAGGAGCUAUUAACAGUUUAUUUGAUAUGCUUUGAUGAAGAAGUGGGAUUUUGAAGGAGUGGAGACUGGGUGAGCAUCUAAUGGAGGAGGGAAGCGAGUUCCACAGGAACGGUGCAGCCCUCAAGAAAUCUUGAAGGCAAGCAUCAGAGGUGGGAGUAUGGACAGAAGAUAGACGUAAGUCUUCAGCUGAUCGUAAGGGCUUAGACAGGACAUAAUUGUGUAUAAGGGAGGAUAGAUAGGUGGAAGCAGCAUUAUGUAGAAAUUUGAAAGCAAGACCCAGAAUUUUAAAUUGAGCUCUAUAUUUUAUAGGAAGCCAAUUUAGGGACUGAGAGAAGGGUGAGGCAUGGGAGGUGCGGGCGGACAGGAAGAUGAGCCUCGCUGCCGCAUUCAUUAUGGACUGUAACAGCGCAAGCCCACGUGGCAGGUGAGCAGAAGCAAGCGUACCAGCGAGAGCUCCCCUGCUGGGUCCAUUGUAGCCUUGGCAAACCGUAAGGCAAGAGCACAGCAUAAUAUUUUAAAGGCUGAAAAAUACACUUAAAACCAAAUAAUCAUCAAACCUCUACACCUCACCUUUACUACCACAUAGAAGGAAAAGGAACUGCACCUAUCAACAUAGUAUAUUGCUGUAUAUUGCUGAGUCAAUUCCAUGCUCAAGCGAACAGAAUAUACUGCUCAUGAUCAAGCAGAUCGACCAAAUGAAAUUUCCAUCCUUUCAUUGAAUGAAGCAGAGCAACAAAACUUAGAAGUAAUCAUCAAGAUAAAUACUAAGAACUGCUCCAAAUAUUAAUUCCAGCUCCUUAUUAAGCAGAUCGACCAAAGGAAAUUUCCAUCUUUUCACUGAAUGAAGCAGAGCAACAAAACUUAGAAGUAAUCCUCAAGAGAAUCACUAAGGACUGCUCCAAAAUAUUGUUCCAGC